RNAcentral lists this long non-coding RNA (221 nucleotides) under Vigna radiata. Its description in RNAcentral is "long non-coding RNA (VRAD_LNC017523)". Lineage: Eukaryota; Viridiplantae; Streptophyta; Magnoliopsida; Fabales; Fabaceae. The record is from RNAcentral.
GUUGGUAUAUUUUAGUAAAAUGUAUCAAGUUUAAGAUUACAAAUAUGUCUCUGUUAAAAAAACUAACUGUAAAUCCAAGGAUAUACACGUUGACAAAAAGAUGAUAAAGAAAUACCUUUUAUUUUUUUAUUUUAAAUUAAAUUUUAAAAUUAUUAAAAUAUCUUUGAAUUAGUUAGUUUUUUUUUAACAAAGACUUAUGGGGUUGCUCCCUCCACUACCAC